This 834-nucleotide ribosomal RNA is filed under the name Coolia malayensis. Its description in RNAcentral is "eukaryotic LSU rRNA". It matches the Rfam family "Eukaryotic large subunit ribosomal RNA", at positions 97 to 892 of the family's 3401-position model. Lineage: Eukaryota; Dinophyceae; Peridiniales; Ostreopsidaceae. The record is from RNAcentral.
AACAAAGACAUGGUCAUUUUGAAAAUUGUGGUCUUAGAUCAUGAAUUGUAUUUUCAAAAUGCAUUGCUAACACAACUGCACAUGUUUGUUUAUUGGAAAGAACAUCACAAAGGGUGACAAUCCCAUGUGUCAUGUGUAUGUUUUGUGUACAGCGUGCAUUAUAUGAAUCACAUUCAUUGACAAUUGAAUGCAAAUAGAAUGGUAAAUUUCAUUUAAUCAUAAAUAUGUUGUUGACAACUUAUAGCAAACAAAUACCAUGAGGGAAAUGUGAAAAGGAUUUUGAAAAGAAAAUUAAAAGAGCUUGCAAUUGCUGAACUGAUAAGCAAACAAAACAUACGUGUGUAUGCAAGAUUGUUGUAAUGCUUAGCAUCCUAUGCAAGGCUAUUGCAAUGAUUUUUUGUAUAUUGAUGCUACCUUUUUUUAGAAUUUGGAAUGUCUUUUUUUGAGUGUGAAUGGAAUUUUGUUUGUUAGCAAAGGAAUGCACUUUUAGAUUCAUUGUUUGAUUUGAUUUAAAAAUGUUUGUGACACGUGUCUUUGUUUUAGUUUCAUGCUUCAACCAAGGACAUUGUGUUUGAUCCAUAUCAGCAAUACAUGUUUUGUUUGACCCGUCUUGAAACACGGACCAAGGAGUUUAAUUUAUGUGCAAGAUCAUGAAACUGACAUUUGUAUAUCAAUGAAAAUAUUUUGUUGGGAUUUGUGCACCAACAACUGAUAAGUUGUGUGACGCGACGUUGAGUUUGAGCAUGUUGAUUAAAACCCGAAAGAUGGUGAACUAUGCCUGAACAGAAUGAAGUCAGAGGAAACUCUGAUGGAAGUUCGUAUCGAUACUGACGU